Long non-coding RNA from Pan troglodytes (chimpanzee), 4598 nucleotides. RefSeq lists it as uncharacterized. The record is from RefSeq and is a predicted model, not a curated record. The transcript is spliced from 4 exons. Lineage: Eukaryota; Metazoa; Chordata; Mammalia; Primates; Hominidae.
UUGUAUUUUUAGUAGAGAUGGUGUUUCACCAUGUUGACCAGGCUGGUCUAGAACUCCUGACCUUGGGUGAUCCACCCGCCUCGGCCUCCCAAAGUGCUGGGAUUACAGGCAUGAGCCACUGCGCCCAGCCUGGGCCUGCUUUUUUCUCUUUUUCUUUUUUUUCAUUAGCAGCUUAAAAUUGAUGCCUUAUUCAGACACAAGCAAAAGGACAUUAGCCCAGCUUUGGAAAUAGAGCCACCUAAGCUGAAGAUUCCCUUGAGAACAAGUACUGUCCUGUGGUUUCAUGGCCUUUCUUCCAUUUGUGGUUCUUGCGAAGUGGAAUUUAAAUGACAUCUUAUCAAGAUGGAUAAACCCUAGUUUCCCAGUGCUGGAAUAUAGAAAAUGGGUGGACAAGUAAAUCCCACUCAGCACCCAUAGUCCAGGCAUGGGGACCUCAACACACCUGAGCCCCAGACAUCACCUUUCAUUCUGGACCUACCAUGAAAGACUUCUGAAUCCAGGAAGAGAAACUGACUGGGCAACAUGUUAUUCAGAGACAGGGCCUCGCUCUGUUGUCCAGGCUGGUGUGCAGUGGUGCAAUCAUAGCUCAUUGAAGCCUCAACCUCCAGGGCUCAAGUGAUUCUCCUGCUUCAGCCUCUCAAGUAGCUGGAAUUACAGGGUUCCCACCACCACAUUUGGCUAAUUUCUUUUAUUUUUUGUAUAGAUGGGGUCUUCUUAUGUUGCCCAGGCUGGUCUCAAAUUCCUAGGCUCAAGUGAUUCCGCCCACCUCUGCCUCCCAAAGUGCUGGGAUUAUGGGCAUGAGCCAGCGCAUCUGGCCACCUUAUUUUCUAUUACUGGCUCAAUGUAAUGGCUCCAUCUCAGGAACAGCCAAUGAAAGAGAUGCACAGGACAGGGUAAGUGGGGAGGGGCACAGAGCUUCCAUGCCCUCUGUUGGGCACACUACCCUCCCAGGACCUCCUUGUGUUUAGCAACACAGAAGCUCUCCAAACCCUGCUGUUUGGGUGUUUAUGGAGGCAUGAUUGAUAAAAUCAUUGGCCAUUGGUAGUUAAGUCAAUCUCCAGUUCCUUUUGCCUCCUGGAGUUCAGCAGGUGAGGCUGAAAGUUCCAAGCCUCAAAAAAUGUGGUUGGGGCCAGGUGCAGUGGCUCACUCCUGUAAUCCUAGCAGUUUGGAAGGCUGAGGCACAUGGACCACUUGAGGUCAGGAGUUUGAGACCAGCCUGACCAACAUGGUGAAACCCCAUUUCUACUAAAAAUAACAACAAUUAGCUAGGCAUUGUGGCACAUCCCUAUAAUUCCAGCUACUCGGGAGGCCGAGGCAGGAGAAUUGCUUGAACCCGGGAGGUGGAGGUUGUAGUGAGCUGAGAUUGUGCCAUUGCACUCCAGCCUGGGCUACAAGAGCCAAACUCCGUUAAAAAAAAAAAUGUGGUUGCUUUCUCUGGCAGCUAGCCCUCCUCCUGAAGCAGUCUAGGAGCUUGCAGCCACCCUGUUAGCUCAGCAGCAUCCCACAUGCAUUCUUACCAUGCUGCAGAUCUGAAAGACCUUAGAGGCCCUUGUGUCAGGAACCUGGGACUAAGACUAAAUAUCAAAACAGAAAAUGCUCCUAUUACCUCUGUCACGAAGGGCUUUAUAAGAGCUUUGGAAGUUCUAUGCCAGGAACCAGGGGCAGAGACCAAAUGUAUAUUUCUUUUCUUAUAUUGGAGACAGAGUCUCACUCUGCCACUGAGACUGGAGUGCAGUGAUGUGAUCAUAGCUCACUGCAGCCUUGACCUCCUAGGCUAAAGCAAUCCUCCCACCGUAGCCUCUCCAGUAGCUGGAACUACAGGCAUGCAUCACCAUGUCCAGCUGAUUUUAAUUUUAAUUUUGUAAAGGCAGGGUCUUCCUAUUUUCCCCAGGCUGAUCUCUAACUCUUGGCCUCAAGCAGUCCUUCCUCUUUGGCCUCCCAAAAUGUUGGGAUUACAGAUGGGAGCCCCCAUACCCACCAAUCACAAGGAUCUUUAUAAGAGAAGGAGGUAGGAGAGUCAGAAUUAGAGAAAGUGAUGUGGUAAUGGAAGAAGAGGUCAGAGAGGGAGAUUUGAAGAUGCUGCACUUCUGGCCUUGAAUAUGGAGUCACGAGGUAAGUCAAGGAAUGGGGGUGGCUUCUAGAAGCUGGAAAAGGCAAAGGAGCACAUUCUGUCUAGAGCCUCCCCCAGAAGGAAUGAAGCCCCUCUGACACCUUGACUUUAGCCUUAAUAGACCUAGUUGGGCUUCUGGCCCCCAGAACUGUAAGAUGGUAGAUUUGUGGUGUUUGAUGCCACUAAAUGUAGGGUACUUUGUUGUAGCAACAACAAAAAAUGAACAUGAAGCUGGGACCUCAUGUUACAGUUGCUCAUGCCUGUAAUCCCAGAACUUUAGGAGGCUGAGGUGGGAGGAUCGCUUAAGCCCAGGAGCUUAAGACCAGCCUGGGCAACAUAAUGAGACCUGAUGUCUAAACAAAAUUUUUUUAAAAGGCCAGGCGCAGUGGCUCACGCCUGUAAUCCCAGCACUUUGGGAGGCCGAGGAGGGUGGAUCACGAGGUCAGAAGUUCAAGACCAGCCUAGCCAAGAUGGUGAAACCCCAUCUCUACUAAAAAUACAAACAUUAGCCAGGUGUGGUGGUGGGUGCCUGUAAUCCCAGCUACUCGGGAGGCAGAGAAUCACUUGAACCCAAAAGGCAGACAUUGCAGUGAGCCAAGAUCACACCCUUACACUUCAGCCUGGGCGACCGAGACUCCGUCUCAAAAAAAAAAAAAAAAAAAAAAAAAAAAGCCAUGUGUUGUGGCAUGCAGCUGUAGUCUCAGUUCCUAGGGUGGCUGAGGCGGGAGGAUUGUUUAAGCCUGGGAGGUUGAAGUUGCUGUGAGCUGUGAUUGCACCAGUGUACUCCAGCCUGGGCAAUAAAGCAAGACCUUGUUUCAAAAAGAAAGAAAGAAAUGAGCAUGGUGGGAAUGGGGACAGAUGGCAGUGUUAAGUAGAGUGGUCAGGGUUGGCCUCAUAAGUGAAUAUUGAGCAAAAGUUUGAAGCAGGUGAUGGAGCUGGCCAAGGUGCUGAGGGAAGAGCAUUGUAGGCUGAGUCAACAGGAUAAAGGCAUUAGGAGGAAACUCUCUGGUGUGUCUGAGGCUCUGGAAGGAGGCCAGUGGAGCAAAGAGAUAGAGGGAGCGAAGUCAGCAAGGAGGCCAGGGAGUUGCUGGGCUGGGAUCGGUACAGAUCGUGUAAGCCCUGGGACGCUAUUGCUGGGGCUUUGGCUUUUACUCUGACUAAAAUGGGAACCACCGAGGACUUCUGAGCAGAGAGGCGACGUGAUCUGUCUCCUGAUUUAAAAGCACGACCUGGCUGCCAAGUUGAGAAAGACUAUGGGAAGAUUUGGGUAGAAGCAUGGGGGCCAAGCUGUGGCAACAUCCCGCUGGGAGAUGAUAGUGAUCCUGACCGGGUUCACGGUGGUGGUGAGAGAUGGUCAGAGCCUGGAUACACGUUGAAGUCAGUCAGUAGGAUUUCCUGACAGACUGGAUGUGAGCUGUGAGAGAAGGCAGUGGUCAAGAUUGAGUUUGAUUCUGAUUGAAUUAUUAAGUAAUUUUAAAAAACACUACUGCCUUUCCCAAUCCUACCAAGUAAAAGAUGCUAGAUAAAAGAAAUCUCAAAUUAGGCCAGGUGCAGUGGCUCACACCUAUAGUUCCAACAGUUUGAGAGGCAGAGAUGGGAGUAUGUUUUAAGGCCAUGAGUUUGAGAGCAGCCUGGGCAACACAGCAAGACCUCCUCUCUAAUAAAAUAAUUAAUAAAAAAAAUUUUAAUAAAAUAAAAUAAAUAUAGCCAGGCAUGAUGGUAUGUACCUAUGGCCCCAGUUACUCAUGUGGCUGAGAUGGGCAGAUCUCUUGAUUCUAGGAGUUUGAGGCCAGCUUGGGCAACAUAGCAAGACUUCUCUCUCUACAAAAAUGAAAAAAAUGCCUGACAUGGUGGUACUUGCCUGUUUUCCCAGGUAUGGGGGCAGCUGAGGCAGGAGCAUCUCUUGAGCCCAGUUGGUCAAGGUUGCAGUGAGCUAUGAUUAUACCACUGCACUCCAUCCUGGGUGACAGAGUGGGACCCUGUCUCAAAAUACAAAUACAAAUGAAAUCUCAAGUCAGACCAGUCCCUUCUAGGCUAUGUAGGCCUUGUAACCACAUAGCUGCAUGAUCGGGUUUGUGUGGCUGUGGAUGAGGAGACCCCUGUCCAAUUGUUGGCUAUGUAAUCAGUUUAUUUUUCAAUAUAGUAAUCAAAUAUAUUUCAUCAUACUUGAUGGUCUCAGAUAUGUGUGGAUUUUGGAAUUCCCCUUGGAACAGGUUGUAACAUCUUAUUGGCUCCAUAAUUCCAUAUUUUUUAAAAAUCUGAUCAGUUUUUAAUAAGAUCAGAAUUGAUAUUAGACUACUUAAUCGGUUUUGUUAAUGAGAAAAUGAAAUUGGGUUGUUUGCAUUUUAUCCAAGAUGGGUGUCAUAUUGGCUACAUCUCAUCAAUACUUGAACAAAUGCAAAAUUAGAGCUUCUUUAUCAUGAAACACGAUGUAAUUCUUGAAGAAGAUGCCAUUUCUUUUUUUUCUUUUUUCUUUUUUUAAGAUAAG